UUGCGGUAUGGGAUGGGGUCGCGUCCUAUCAGCUUGAUGGCGGGGUAACGGCCCACCAUGGCUUCGACGGGUAGCCGGCCUGAGAGGGCGACCGGCCACAUUGGGACUGAGAUACGGCCCAGACUCCUACGGGAGGCAGCAGUGGGGAAUAUUGCACAAUGGGCGCAAGCCUGAUGCAGCGACGCCGCGUGCGGGAUGACGGCCUUCGGGUUGUAAACCGCUUUUGACUGGGAGCAAGCCCUUCGGGGUGAGUGUACCUUUCGAAUAAGCACCGGCUAACUACGUGCCAGCAGCCGCGGUAAUACGUAGGGUGCAAGCGUUAUCCGGAAUUAUUGGGCGUAAAGGGCUCGUAGGCGGUUCGUCGCGUCCGGUGUGAAAGUCCAUCGCUUAACGGUGGAUCCGCGCCGGGUACGGGCGGG
RNAcentral lists this ribosomal RNA (419 nucleotides) under uncultured Bifidobacterium sp. RNAcentral's name for it is "bacterial SSU rRNA". It matches the Rfam family "Bacterial small subunit ribosomal RNA", at positions 213 to 640 of the family's 1533-position model. The record is from RNAcentral. Lineage: Bacteria; Bacillati; Actinomycetota; Actinomycetes; Bifidobacteriales; Bifidobacteriaceae.